This 460-nucleotide ribosomal RNA is filed under the name uncultured bacterium. RNAcentral describes it as "partial 16S ribosomal RNA". It matches the Rfam family "Bacterial small subunit ribosomal RNA", at positions 338 to 795 of the family's 1533-position model. The record is from RNAcentral.
CCUACGGGAGGCAGCAGUGAGGAAUAUUGGUCAAUGGGCGCGAGCCUGAACCAGCCAAGUAGCGUGAAGGAUGACUGCCCUACGGGUUGUAAACUUCUUUUAUAAAGGAAUAAAGUGAGGCACGUGUGCCUUUUUGUAUGUCUUUUAUGAAUAAGGAUCGGCUAACUCCGUGCCAGCAGCCGAGGUAAUCCGGAGGGUCCGAGCGUUAUCCGGAUUUAUUGGGUUUAAAGGGAGCGUAGAUGGGUUGUUAAGUCAGAUGUGAAAGUUUGCGGCUCAACCGUAAAAUUGCAAUUGAUACUGGCAGCCUGGAGUACAGGUGAGGUAGGCGGAAUUCGUGGUGUAGCGGUGAAAUGCUUAGAUAUCACGAAGAACUCCGAUGGCGAAGGCAGCCUACUAAACGGCCACUGACAUUGAUGCUCGAAAGUGUGGGUAUCAAACAGGAUUAGAUACCCGAGUAGUC